RNAcentral lists this ribosomal RNA (278 nucleotides) under uncultured archaeon. RNAcentral's name for it is "partial 16S ribosomal RNA". It matches the Rfam family "Archaeal small subunit ribosomal RNA", at positions 320 to 598 of the family's 1478-position model. The record is from RNAcentral.
GCCCUACGGGGCGCAGCAGGCGCGAAAACUUUACAAUGCCGGCAACGGCGAUAAGGGGACCUCGAGUGCCAGGUUACAAAUCUGGCUGUCGUGAUGCCUAAAAAGCAUUGCAUAGCAAGGGCCGGGCAAGACCGGUGCCAGCCGCCGCGGUAACACCGGCGGCUCGAGUGGUAACCGUUAUUAUUGGGUCUAAAGGGUCUGUAGCCGGCCGGAUAAGUCUCUUGAGAAAUCCAGCAGCUCAACUGUUGGGCUUUCAGGAGAUACUGUUCGGCUCGAGG